RNAcentral lists this unclassified non-coding RNA (406 nucleotides) under soil metagenome. Its description in RNAcentral is "partial contains 5.8S ribosomal RNA, internal transcribed spacer 2, and large subunit ribosomal RNA". The stretch from base 1 to 121 matches the Rfam family "5.8S ribosomal RNA", at positions 35 to 154 of the family's 154-position model. The record is from RNAcentral.
GAUGAAGAACGCAGCGAAAUGCGAUAAGUAAUGUGAAUUGCAGAAUUCAGUGAAUCAUCGAAUCUUUGAACGCACCUUGCGCCCCUUGGCCAUUCCGAAGGGCAUGCCUGUUUGAGUAUCAUGAACACCUCAACUCUUCAUGGUUUUCCAUGAUGAGCUUGGACUUUGGGGGUCUUGCUGGCCUGUGGGUCGGCUCCUCUCAAAUGAAUCAGCUUGCCGGUUUUUGGUGGGCAUCACAGGUGUGAUAACUAUCUACGCUUGUGGUUUUCCACCAGGGUAACCUUCAGCAGUGGAGGUUCACUGGAGCUUACAAAUGUCUCUCCUCUGUGAGGACAGCCCUUUGAAUGUUUGAUCUCAAAUCAGGUAGGACUACCCGCUGAACUUAAGCAUAUCAAUAAGCGGAGGA